Molecule: long non-coding RNA, 3399 nt
Organism: Leopardus geoffroyi (Geoffroy's cat)
Lineage: Eukaryota; Metazoa; Chordata; Mammalia; Carnivora; Felidae
Exons: 2
Source: RefSeq, a predicted model, not a curated record
UAGCCUCCCUGGGGAUAGCCUCCCUGGGGCUGGCUCCUGGGAACAAGCUUUUCUCUCACGGGAUUUGGAGAAUCAAUGGCCUACAAGCAUCCAAACUACACUUCAUUUCCAACGGGGGGGAAAAAAAGAAAGAGUCCUUUGUAGGGCAAACUUUUUAUUCGUAUUACACGCACCCCCGUCUCCACCACUCCACCGAAAACAAGAAAACACCUGAGCUGACAGACUAGUGGAUCCUACGAAGGCAAAGGCCCCCCGGUACCCCCAAGACUAGGGAUGUCCCAAUCUGCACAGAGCUGCCCUAGGGGCUGGGGAGCCAAAGUGAGCUGCUGAGGCACGAGAGUGUGACCUUCUGGUCUGCCCCCAAGGGUCGAGAGCCUCAGCUGGGCCCACAGUGCGCUCAAGGACGAAGGAUGGGCCCAGAGUACCCUCAACUACACAACUCACUGGAUGUGCCAAUGAGAUCUGUCACCUGAACCCAGCAAGCAGAGUAACAGGCAAGCGAGGAAAGGGGGCUCGCCCACUUCACACAAGACCAGCUGCUAGGGCAUACCUGGCCCCAGGAUGGCCAGUGAGUACAUGAGGGGACGAGGCUCAAUGUAAAAUGCGGGCAUGUGGCCCCAAGCACCUGGGCGAGGCUGUCACCUUCUGUAGAGACUGGUGCAGGGAAGCGUCCCAGGAAGCAGGGACCUGGGGAAUGAAUGGGAACGAUCUAGACACUGGCUCCAGCAAGAGGAGGUACUCCAUGCAGCAAGAGUUAAGGCUCAGCCUUAGGACACAGAGACCCCACACAGGAGAGCAGUCUGAGAAAAGAGGCAGAAACUUGGAGAAGGCAGUGAAACCAGAACCAAGACCGUGGGAGCCAGCCUGGAGGCGCUGCAGGAGUGCCCCUCCCGCUGAGAAGGCAAGGGAAAGCAAGAAGGAACUCUCUUCAUCAGGCAGGUUUCUGUGGACUGAGGUUUGGGAGAUCACCCCAGGAGUGACCGAGCCAAAAGGUGCAGGCGUGGGAAUGAUCAACAUCCACAGGGCAGUGUGGCCCCCCCCACAGAGCAGACUCACCCUGGCUGCUCCGAUCAUAGACUGAUCCUGGGAUAAUGGCCUCCCGAGCAUCAUACAUGGCUGUUGUCAUGAAGCGGGCUCCCUGCAAAGGGUUUAGAUAGGUGAGGAAUUUAUCACCUUGACACAAGGAAGAACUUUCUAAAGAUGUGAUGGCUUGGCCACCUUCCAGGCCAUGACUAGGCCAACGCUGAGGCUUGCUGGGCCUUGCCCACCCCUCCUCCACAGACCUGGCCUUUGGUGCUGAAUGUUUGUCUCCAGGCUUCACAUCAAGCAGCAUCACCGCUUCUAAGUCCCCCAGAGCACCCCGGCUUCACAAGGUUUCCUAACUGCCUGUGUUCAACUCCUAGGCGCCACCCAUGACUUUGCAUCCCUAAAGGCCAUGUCCAAAAAGGCCUAAGAAUGCUUGUGAGACCUGGGCCGGGAGAGCUCUGGGGCAAAGGCCAGCGUGAUCACUCCAGUACACACACACGUGUGUGUUCACCCUCGGCUCACACUUACUACAGGUCAUACCUGCCACUGCCCAUUACCAUGUGCCAGGACACCAGCCUGGGGAGAAGGGGGUUCUUGGCACAGUCUUCCUCCACACCUUUCUGGCCACCCACAGCCAGUGCUCACCGGGUUGAUGGUGUUGACCAGCUUCCUGGGCUUGCUGAACUGCAUGAGGCUCUCCCGAAGGUUGUUCAAGGGCCCCUCCACCAGCACCUUCUGCUCCUUGUAGUAGUUCAGCAGGUGGUUCCAGAGUGGCUGCUUGGACAAGGCCUUUGGGUUGCCCACGAUAAUGACCCCAUACCUGCAAGGUGUGGGCCCAAGAACGCGGUGUUUAGGGUUCUGCACGGUGACCAGAACACCACAAAGAACAGUGUGAGGAGAGACUGAACAAACUCAAAAUCCACAUCCAAGGUGAGAGGAGCCAAGCCCAGGCCGCUCUCCUCUCAUCCCACCCACUAAAUCCCUCCCCAGACGCCUGGCCUGCCUGUGACAGUGCCCAACGUGAGGCCUGGGGAUGGACAGGUAGGCUGCUGGUCAUGGUGACCUGGCAAUGGAGCCCACCCUGCAAGCUGCCAACAGUGCACUGGAUAGAUCUGCAGGCAGUUUCUAAGGAAUCCAGGUGUCAAAACACAACAACGAGCAGACGAGCUCACAGACAAGUCUCUCUGCAGCCAUGAGUCGGCCUCCUGGGAAGUUAUCGGCAGUCUCAGCAGGCUCUGUGGCCUCAGGAACCCUGACAAGCUGAGGCAUGGAACUCAAUUCCGGCAGACGCUCACCCUCACCUAGCCGUGUCAAGACCCCCAAGUUGAACUUGGACCCCUACUGUUGGCCACCGAACGAGAGCACCUUAGAAGGGGCGGGGGGGGGGGGGGGUAACAGACAAAAACCAAGAUACCCUGACAGGGGAAGGAACCAACGUAUGAGGGCAGCUGUGGUCUGGUUUUACUCAAGGGUGACACAGGAGGCCACCUAAUUCUCUGGGUGCCCUCUGCUAUCAUCGUUUCAAAAAAGGUUACACUCCAGGACCAAAAGAUUAGAUUUCAUGGAUUAAAAGUCUCUACAGGGGCACAACCCAUGCUACUGUGUUUUGAUCUUAGGUCAAAAGGGCCGAGAUGACACGUCCCACAAAACAGGCCACAGAAACCCAACAGGACAAUAAACAAAAGUGUCUUGCAGGGAGGCAUUCUUUCUAGAUUGCUGCUUGUGAGUGCUCUGACCUCGGGCUGCUGAAGUCCCACCCCGCCCUGUAAGGGUGUGAUGCGAGGACUAAUCACAGGAAGAGGACGACCAGGCAAGGAUCAGCUCUCGGGUGGACCCUCCCAGCUCCAGAUUCCAAGGGAAAAGUCCCUCUGAAGAACUCCCAUGGCAGGAACGAGGCACCCGACCACUGGCAAGGUCCAAGGGGACUUAGUCCUCCAUACCUUGCUCUGGUCAGAGCCACAUUAAGCCGCCUGGGGUCGUUUAAAAACCCAAUGCCUUGGUGCUCGUUGGCUCGCACACAGGAAAGGAUGAUGAAGUCCUUCUCUCGUCCCUGGAACGCAUCCACACUGGCAAUCUCCACCUCCUACAAGGGACACAUGGUCAUAGUCAGCUGGCUGCCUUCAAGGACCCUCAGACUGUUGAACUGUGUUGAGACGCACCGUCCCAUCCCACCAGUAAGCCUGGGACCCAAAGCCUGCAGAGCCCCCUGCUCAGUGCACCUCUGGGGAGCGAGGAGGGGGCCCCUUUGGCUAGGCCUGCUCCCACUGGGCCUUCCCAGUCCCCAGCCCCACUCUCCUAGCCUUCCUGUGCUUUGGUUGUCUUUUUAACCUUGGCAAUUCGUUUCCCAACAAUAAAAGCAUACAUGCCUAUCAC